This is a long non-coding RNA of Schistocerca gregaria, 1381 nucleotides long. RefSeq lists it as uncharacterized. The record is from RefSeq and is a predicted model, not a curated record. NCBI's taxonomy places the organism in Eukaryota, Metazoa, Arthropoda, Insecta, Orthoptera, Acrididae. The transcript is spliced from 5 exons.
CUAUAAUAUAAUAUGAUUUGGCGUGCAUAGUAGUUUUUAGGUUCAAGAUUAAGACGUUAUAUAACAAAUCAUCUCGAUUGGAUUUACAUAAGCAAGAAGCAGAAAGGUGUCGUGGUUUUUCAUUUUGUUUAAAACUGUUCUUCUUUCCCGCGUUCUGCCUGUAUCAGCUGUUCACCCAUCUUUGCUACAACAAUGUCCAGAGAUUUCAAAUUAGGACGCCAACGUGAGCUCCCAACAGACAAAAGGGAGGCGAGAGAGGCCUUGUACUACGCAACUUCUGCGGUAAUGGCAGACAUUCCAGUAUUGAUGGAAGAGAUGGCUGAUAGUGUGAACGCAGCGAACAGAAAAAUGUAUGCUGUCAACGAGCUUUUGCGAGCAGUUUCACAACAUUAUGUGAAACCUAAUGGGAGUCAAAAUACAAAACCCUAGAUAAUUGACAGAAGAUUCUAUCUUUUAAUUUUGUUGCUUGGCAACCAAUUUCUGUGUAUCGAAUUCUAAGAGUAAUUAAAAAAAAGUGCUGUAAAUCAUUUUUUUUUUCGCAUUAUUCGACAUUUUAUUAACAUGUAUAGCCCAGGAGUGCUAGUAGGCAACUGGUUUGAAAAGCGCAGUUGCUACAGUCAAAAGAGCUUUCAGCAUAAAUCUGUAUAUGCCACAGAUUAUUGUGCCCCACCCAAGCCCACUGAAGAUGAUUUAAUGGGCGACAUAAAGACACAGGAAAAUGUGUGUAAAGCAGAAAGUGAUAGUCUUAGUCUAAAAGGAAUCUCCUUUUUCUCAUUUUGGCAUUACAAAAUUUUCAGAGUGAUCGAGUACUGCCCACACUUGAUGGCUACAAAAAUAAUUUCUCAUCAAGCUAUGACCUGCAUUACAGAAUACAUCCAAAAGGGCUUUGUGGACCUAGGUUAAGAACUUUCAACACACAGUCUAAGGCAUGGCUUCCAGAUCAAGAUUUUGCUUUAAACUAUGGAAAUGUAACAGAAUUUGGGCUUCGGGCUUACAAGAAUGAAAUCAAACGUCUACAUGAAUGCCGUGAGCGUUAUCUUUCAACUGAAUAUCGUGAUACAUAUGUACAGUACUCACAGGAGUUUUAUAUUAAAGUAAAAUAAACGACACUGAAGCAAUAUAACUAACACACAUCAGUUUUCUUCUUAAUGGUGCAUCUUGGAAGCAAUUAGCAGUGUAUCCAUGCUGAUAUGAUUUUAUUAAUGGUUGUACAAAUAGUAAACAUGCUUUGUGGAAGUCUUGUUGGAAAACACACUGACAGCUCUCAAGUAAAUCUCUGUAUUAUGUUAACAGCUUUGAACUACAAGAAUAUAGGUUCACAAAACAUCAGCUUGGCAUAUGUUUCUACAAAACAUGAUGUGUGUGGAUGUAAUAGUGAGCA